This 515-nucleotide long non-coding RNA is filed under the name Musa acuminata (dwarf banana). Its description in RNAcentral is "long non-coding RNA (MACU_LNC009494)". Lineage: Eukaryota; Viridiplantae; Streptophyta; Magnoliopsida; Zingiberales; Musaceae. The record is from RNAcentral.
UUUGGUGGAGUUUUAGGGCUGUAGGUGAAAGUUUUGGAUCUGUGGUAUAUGAUAGCAAAGGUUUGAUAAAAAUCGGUGGAAGUUGCAGCAAGUAUGUGCUGUCUUGUAAGAGUAGAAUUGUCGUCGAAGAAACAACGGUUUCUCGACGUAAUUUCCACCAAAGACUUGAGAGAAUUGAUGAGGGAAUUGAUAGCAAAAUCACAGUUUAUAUGACAGCAAGAAUAUCUAAUUUAAUCAAGAAAAUUUUGGCAGUAUAACAGCAAGGAAAUUGGUGCAAGUUGCGAUUGUAGAAUUCUCGUCAAAAAAUUUCAACGGGUUAUAACGAAAAUUUGUAGCAACACAAAAUCGUUUUUAGAGAUGAAUUUCUUAAUAGAUCAAUCUUAGAUGGAAGCCAAGAUGAUCUAUGAAGUGUAUAAGAAAUUUCAUUCAAAAAAGAUUGCAAAUAGAUAGGCUAAGGCAACAAUAUGCGCUUGAAAUUUUCUGCAGCACAGAUUUUUAAGUAUAGCAGAUUGGAC